CGGCUUGGCAAACUUGUCCGAACCGAGAGGUUCAUUUUAUUUUCGGAGUUUUAAAAUGGCAUUGACCGUAGAACAAAAAGCACAAAUUAUCAAAGAUUUCCAACGCAAAGAA
This is a regulatory RNA element of Neisseria sp., 112 nucleotides long. It matches the Rfam family "Ribosomal S15 leader". From Rfam's summary of the family: The E. coli Ribosomal S15 gene 5' UTR can form two alternative structures. The record is from Rfam. Lineage: Bacteria; Pseudomonadati; Pseudomonadota; Betaproteobacteria; Neisseriales; Neisseriaceae.